RNAcentral lists this ribosomal RNA (253 nucleotides) under uncultured bacterium. RNAcentral describes it as "partial 16S ribosomal RNA". It matches the Rfam family "Bacterial small subunit ribosomal RNA", at positions 524 to 776 of the family's 1533-position model. The record is from RNAcentral.
UACGGGGGGGGCAAGCGUUGUUCGGAAUUACUGGGCGUAAAGGGCUCGUAGGUGGCCAACUAAGUCAGACGUGAAAUCCCUCGGCUUAACCGGGGAACUGCGUCUGAUACUGGAUGGCUUGAGUUCGGGAGAGGGAUGCGGAAUUCCAGGUAUAGCGGUGAAAUGCGUAGAUAUCUGGAGGAACACCGGUGGCGAAGGCGGCAUCCUGGACCGACACUGACACUGAGGAGCGAAAGCCAGGGGAGCAAACGGG